GGUCUUAUAUUCAAAAUUAUGAAAUUUGAUUGCAGAUCUUAAAGUGGUACAACCUAAGACUU
Molecule: transfer RNA, 62 nt
Filed under: Cryptopygus antarcticus
Lineage: Eukaryota; Metazoa; Arthropoda; Collembola; Entomobryomorpha; Isotomidae
Description: tRNA-Cys
Source: RNAcentral